UGAGCAGACAGUUAGUUGGACAGCUACCCUGCAGCUCUGGACAGCAUCUGCAUUUCAGAGGACUUCAAGAGAGGCCAAAUGGUGUAAAGAGAUGGACAUAUGUAUUUUGAAGGGAAGGCUGGAGGAAAGUACUUUCCAGGUAUGAAUAACAGCAUGUGCAAAGGCCCUGGGGUUUUUACUCAGUGGAGGGGAAUGGCCAGCCAGGAUGAUUAGACAGAGAGGGCAGAUGGAGCUGAACAGGGCCUUUCCCUGCCUGCCUGGUCUGGCCGGUUCUCUCAGGAGACACCCUCUUAAAAUGUUGUAAUCGUUGUUGAGCUUUCUGUGCCAACUCCAGCAGCCUAGAGGCUACAGUAUGCUUUAAAAUUCUAUUUUCUGGGAGCUUCCUUGUGUUCAGCCCAAACCUUUUUUGCUUUUGUGUCUGUAACAAGACCCCACCCCCACCCCCAGGGGCUCCAUGAUUUUCUUCCAACAGCAAUUUGUUUGCCAGGCCUAUAAUUGGGAAACAGGGCCUCAUUUCCUCUUCCUAGCUUCCUAGGCCUUAGGUGUCUCCUUCUACCCAAGGAAGUUUGGGAAAAGUAGGGCACACACAGGGUGUAGCCAGUAUGGGCUUCCCCCAGCUCAGCAUAUAUAAGGAUGUGUAGGUGUCACUGGUAAUGUAUAUACAUUUGUGCUGUCUGGGAGGUGCUCUAGCCCCCACACAAGGCACUUGCCUGUGACGUCACCCCGACUAGCCCAGAUUGGGGCUUAUUUCAGGCAACACUCAUGCUUCAACCUUAGCUUAUACCAAGCCUGUUCCUGGAGUCAAGGAAAGACUGCCCAGCUGCCCCUCUGGCCUGUGGGCCUGAUCUCAUAUUGCGUUUAAUAACUACUUAGAACAGUGGUAAGCAUAUUGUGAGCUUCUUCUUUUUUUUAAUUUAUUUUUUAUUAGGUAUUUUCCUCGUUUACAUUUUCAAUGCUAUCCCAAAAGUCCCCCAUACCCACCCCCCAAUCCCCUACACACCCACUCCCCCUUUUUGGCCCUGGGGUUCCCCUGUACUGGGGCAUAUAAAGUUUGCAAGUCCAAUGGGCCUCUCUUUGCAGUGAUGGCUGACUAGGCCAUCUUUUGAUACAUAUGCAGCUAGAGACAAGAGCUCCGGGGUACUGGUUAGUUCAUAUUGUUGUUCCACCUAUAGGGUUGCAGAUCCCUUUAGCUCCUUGGGUACUUUCUCUAGCUCCUCCAUUGGGGGCCGUGUGAUCCAUCCAAUAGCUGACUGUGAUCAUCCACUUCUGUGUUUGCUAGGCCCCGGCAUAGUCUCACAAGAGACAGCUAUAUCUGGGUCCUUUCAGCAAAAUCUUGCUAGUGUAUGCAAUGGUGUCAACGUUUGGAAGCUGAUUAUGGGAUGGGUCCCUGCAUAUGGCAAUCACUAGAUGGUCCAUCCUUUCGUCGCAGCUCCAAAUUUUGUCUCUGUAACUCCUUCCAUGAGUGUUUUGUUCCCAUUUCUAAGAAGGGGCAAAGUGUCCACACUUUGGUCUUCGUUCUUCUUGAAUUUCAUGCGUUUAGCAAAUUGUAUCUUAUAUCUUGGGUAUCCUAAGUGAGCUUCUUUAUUUACAGUUACCAUGUGGGUCCUAGAGAUAGAAUUCGGGCCAUCAGGUUUAACAGCAAGUACCUUUACCCACAGAACUACCUCACUUUCUCUGUUUUCUGUUUUUAGUUAUUUUGUACAAGUUUGUCAAAGCCAGGCUCAUCUUGAGUUUAGCUAUUCUCCUGACUCAGCAACUCAGCCUUGCUGGGAUUAAAAAUGUGAGCUACUGUGCUUCCCGGCUAGGUCGGAAUUUGUUUUAGGGUGCUGUCUCUGAUAGGUUAGUGGGUAGAAUACUUUUUAGGGAGCAGCCCUAAGGUCAGCAUUGUGGAAGCAACAGGAAGGAGAUGGGAGUGCGAACAGCCUCAGACAACUUCCAGGGAACUGUGUUGUGCAGUGCUAUCCUGGAAUGGAUGUUCAUUGUUCUGCAAAACGUUCAUCCUCAGCCUCCUGGCUCUUUGUGAGCUGACGGACUGGCAGAUGGAUUUCUAUUUACACUUCUUCCAGAAGUGAUGACAAGUCUUUCCUUGAACAGGAAGCAGGUACGCUGCUAUGUUCACUGCAUUUUUCUUCAGGUAUGGUCUUGCUUGUAGAACCCAGGCUGGCCUUAAACUUGAGGCCUCCCCAGCCUCCCAAGAAUUGAGACAUCCAGUGGGCACCACUGCACCAAGCUCUUUAGGAAAAAUAGAGGGCACUUAAAACACAAAAGGACAAAAAUGCUGUGUGGUUGAAAUGGGAGAUGUGAUUAUAAGGGCAAUCACAGUAUGGUUGAGUGGUAAUGGAGCUGCUGCGAUUAAGAGGCAGCUGUGGCUGAGCUCUAUAGUAGCUAAAGUAGUGACUCUCAAUGUUUGCUAACUAGUUCUGUGGAAAGGGAAUAACAUUUUCCUGGAAUUAAAUUAUAAGAAAAUAUUCUCACAUGACUAUGUAUGUGAUUAAAAUAACAGAGGGCAUUCUUAGCAGGCUAGUACCAAGUGCUAACACACUUUUCUUCGUUAUAAUGAUUGACUCUAGAAGUCAUCAUGUCAGAGCAUAGUGAUGUUCCGUUCACAGAGGGAGACAAAGACUUAGACUUGAAGUGUCUGCUUAAUCCAUUCAUCAAGCUGUGUUCCGUCCCUUAUUUCCUCUGCUGUUAACUGUACAUGCAGCAAGCACUUCCUAAGUGCACACCUCAGUGAACCUGCAGUAUAAGCCCUUGUCCUCUGACCUGCAAACCUAUCUAGGGCCCCAUCCCUUCUGACAUCAUAACCUCCGGGCUCCUUUCCUUAAGUCAGUUGCAUUCUCAGUCCCUUAAAGGAACUUUAGGGGUUUUGUUUGUUUUUACUCAAGUUAAAAAUCGUACCUGCUGGGUGGUGGUGGCACACCUUUAAUCCCAGCACUUGGGAGGCAGAGGCAGGCAGAUCUUUAUGAGUUUGAGGCCAGCCUGGUCUGCAGAGCAAGUUCCAGGAUAGCCAAGGGUACACAGAGAAACCCUGUCUUGUAGAACAAAAGCUCCAUAACUCACAUCUAUGCCAACAGUUCCCAACAACCUCUUGUGUCCACAGCCCUGGCUGCCUCACUACUGACUGUUCCCAUUAGCUCUCUUCAGCCAGGAACGGCCGGUACAGUGCUUGUUUCACUGAGGUCAAGCAUGUGGUGCUGAAGACAGGGGAAACUGAGACCAGCAUGGACUUGCUUUUACUCUCGCCCCCUUUGUUCCAGCACACAUCCCUACUGUGCCUUCUAGAGAAUCUCAGCAGGGCAGGAACACAGCAAGCCUGUUCAGAAACAGGCCAUGCUUGGUCUGACAAAGGCACAGGGAGCAAGAAGGACCUUAUCUAGAUUCUUUAGUGAUUAUGGGAAGAGAACAAAGUGAGAGGUGCUGUGUAUUCAUGACAAACAGCCUCUCCAAAUGAGGUAACUAUUCCUUUCACAAUAAGGUCACCCCAAGGUAUUUUGUGGAGUGUUUCUGCAAAGGAAGUACAAAGGUUUAAAGAUGAAUGAUUAAAAUGCCAAGUAUGUGUUCAGUGGCACGUGUAUACUUUGAAUAGGAUUGUUAAAAACUAUUUAUAAAUAUUGAUUCCCUACAUUCAGUCCUAUCAGUAAACUUUGCAUGAAUCUUUGAGUCUGUCUUUUUCUCUUUUUAAAGACUUAUUCAUUUAUUAUAGAUGAGUACACUGUUGCUGUCUUGAGGCACACCAGAAGAGGGCAUCAGAUAUUAUUACAGGUGGUUGUGAGCCACCAUGUGGUUGCUGGGAAUUCAGGACUCUUAUCUGCUGAGCCAUCUCUCCAGCCUUGAGUCUGUCUUUUUCACCAUGAGAGAACCAUCCAAUGUUAUCAAAGCACAUCGUCCCCACUGCUUCUGAAAGCCCAGACUUAUUGAAGAAUAAUUUACACGUAAGCUGUACCUACCUUUUAAAAAUUACUUUGUGUAUGAGUGCUUUGCCUGUGUAUACGCAUGCACACCAGUUGUGUGCCCGGUGCACAGUGGUCAGGAGAGAUUACUGGAUCACCUGGAAUUGUUACUUGGUUGGCUGUGAGCCACCAUGUAGUUGUUAGGUUCCAAACACCAAUCCUCUGCAAGAGUAACAAGUGUUCUUAACCCCUUAAGCAUCUCUCUAGCCCUAAGAUGCACCCAUCUUACGUGUGAAGUUUGAGUUUGAAAAAUAUACUCCUUGUAACUUCUACCCAGACAGUAUAUAGGGCAGAUCUGCGGUCACUGGGAAUUUUAAUUUAAGCAUAAUUGCCUUAAUUUAAACAUCCAGGCUGGCCUCGAACUCAGAGGUCUGCCUGCCUCUGCCUCCCAAGGGCUGGGAUCAAAGGCGUGCGCCACCACUGCCCGGCUAUAAGGAUUUUCCAAUGUAAGUACAGGCAUGACAGUUAGUAUAGUGAGCCUCCACCCAACUUUGGGAACUGAUUACAUUGACGGUUUUGGUGGUGGUGGUUUUAUAGUGUUAUGGGCAGACCCCAGGGUCACGGGCCCUGCCUCUGGCCUACACCACUAGCCCCAGCCUCUGCACUGAUGAGCACUGUUUUCCAGGAAUAUUUUCUCUGAAAGAUUUUUUAAAAUAUGUAAGUACAGCGUAAUUAUUUAACCUAAAAAAUCUAUAUGGCAAUUUCAAAAAGGCUGCUUCCUUAGGGUUGUGGGGAAAGUCUGUUAAAUCUCCCCUCCCUCCCUGUUUACUGAUUUGUCAUCAGGGGACUACUCAUAAGCAUCCAAAACUAGCUUGACUGAGGUCAUUUCAGGGCAGUAUGUUCUCCAAGAAGUGCUCUUUUGUUCCGAACAAAUUGAAAAUGUCUUAUAGGAGGGAUCUGCAAGGGCUGAAAUAAAAGUUCUAGAAAAAAAAAAGGUUUAAAAAAAUGUAAGAAAUUUUAAAAAUUGGGAAAAUGCCUAUAUGUGGUACAAGUAUUUAGGAAAGAAUUUCAAAGUCGACAAAUUACUAGAUAUGAGCUUGGAAGGAAGGGCCAAGGGCUGAGUCUGCCUGGUUCAGUGAGGUGCUUUUCACACACAGGAAACCCAGACCCAGCAGGCUUAGAACAGCGAGUCCUGAGUUGUCCUCCAGAGGUUUCUGUGGAUAUCCUGCAGAACUGUGUGGCUGACUGUGCGUGCAGAGCUCAGGAGUGUGACUGCAUUGGCUACAUGAAAUGAGAAGGACGAUGGCAGCUACAUUAAAAAUGUCUCAGCCACAAACAGCCUGACAGAAAUAGGAGUGAAACUGGGCGACAUUACAGGAGCCAGAGAGGCACUUUUACAAGGGGUGGACAUAUACUAUGAGCUCUUUCAAAUAAAACAUCCAUAAGACAUGUUUAGAGAAUAAACCUGAGACCAGUGGAGGAUGCAUAUGGGAGUGCAGAAUAGCUGCAAAUGGGUGUGAGGGAUGAAAAGUGAUCUAAAACUGACCCAUGAUGAUGGAUGAACUUGUCAGCAGUUACUAAAAAUCAUUUAUUAAAAUGUUACAUUUAUGGCAUGUAAAGUAACAGCAUUCAAUUCCACCCAAAAAGAGCUUAGGCAAGAUGGUGAAUGAAGACUGCACUCUCUCCUUGUUGCGUGGUCACUGGUGACCAGGGUUAGAACCCAGGGAGAGGGUUGUGGUAGACACUGGAUGCAGAGGGUGGGAAAAGACAGUGCAGUGGGUGACUCAUCGCAGGUACUUACUUGAUUGUGAAACUGAAGAGAGGUUGUGGCUGGAAAGGCUGAGGUGUGUGUGUGUGUGUGUGUGUGUGUGUGUGUGUGUGUGUGUGAAGUGUCUCUUUUCACUUUUUAAAUGUGUCAGUUGUUAGGUCCCAGCUUUUGGAAGAGACAGUGCACUUGCUGCACAGAUGGCAAGAGUGUGGAUGAUGUGUAGCUUGGUGCCACAUAGAAGCACUGCCCUUUGCCCACAGAAAGGGGCUUCCCAGAUACUGCCCACCUAGCUUCUGCUCUUGCAUAAUGGGCUACAAUUGAGAUGUGCUGGGUCAUCAAGGAUGACAGGUUUACUCCCAUUCUCUAAGCGCAAGCCUUAUAUACCUCUAAAACUCAUCAGCUCCCCCAAUCUUGGCAGCCUCUUCUCAGUCCCAGUCAGGAUCAGCUGAGAUUCAUGUGUGCUCUGUGGCUUUCCUCAAGAGGCCCGCCACCACUGCCUGGAAUGCACUUUGCUAUUUGCUGUUGUCUUUGUUACCAGGUCCUAAAACUAAGGUUCAUUUCUUACCAGCUACCAGCCAGAGAGUAUUGGUUGGUUACCAAAGGCCUCCCGUUUUAACAUUCUGUCUGGCUAACUCUAACACUACAGAAUUCAAAAACACCUGGCUAUAAUGUUCUUGGUUCCAAACAGUGAUGGUUAUACUGUUUUUAUUCUCAGGAGUAAGUGCUGCCUUCAAUAGCCAAUUGAAGUUCAAGCUUCAAGGGACCAAGAGUUUGCUGCUGUGGUCCCAGCAUCAGUGAUAACGCAGACCACUAAGAAAGGCGGUUCUGAAUAGAUUGCGGAUGCCAGCAAGCUCAGGUGUGGGCCCUUCAAUUGGUGGCCCAUUCGGACCUUCCCUUUAGUCUGGAGUUCACUUUCUCACCUUGAAUUUCAGACUUAGGGUAACAGAAGGAACACUUGGUAGGGAUCAUGGCUACUUUGGGGUAUCCAGAGCUCUGGGCUUGUUACAGUUAACAGUUAAGUCCUUCAAUCAAUCAAUUCAGAAUCUUCAUUCCGUCUGGAGGCUUCUCCAUAUAAGCUAGCUAUCCUGUUUCUGUUCAGUACACAUGGAAAGCUCUCUACGAUUGUUUCUCAAAUAAACAAGGCUGUCCCACUCAGUAGGCACUGCCCACACUGGGAUUAGGCAGUUCCUAAAGGUUUAUUGUACAUUCCCUUGCUUUCUGGGGCUGUCUUUAGGGAUGGAAACUGAUACUCUUUAUCCCACAUCAGGACAGAUGUACUCCCAGGACAAGCCCAUACCACCUUCCCACUGGGAGGGACCGACCCUUGCUGACCUGAAUGAAUAGACCAUGAACUGCACUAAAUCUCAGCCCUGAGCCUUUACUCUGGCCUGGGGCCUCAUUCACAAACAGGCAGACGCUAAGUUUCCGUUAAGUUGUAGGAGUUUAUUUUAAAUAACCUACAGUUGAUUAAAAGGGAAUUCAUGAUAAAAAUAGAAGAUACUUGAGGAAAGAUGUGGGAAUGGACUCUGCA
Mus musculus (house mouse) is the source of this 7189-nucleotide long non-coding RNA. RefSeq annotates it as predicted gene, 54128. The record is from RefSeq and is a predicted model, not a curated record. The transcript has 2 exons. Lineage: Eukaryota; Metazoa; Chordata; Mammalia; Rodentia; Muridae.